RNAcentral lists this transfer RNA (74 nucleotides) under Bos taurus (domestic cattle). It matches the Rfam family "tRNA". From Rfam's summary of the family: Transfer RNA (tRNA) molecules are approximately 80 nucleotides in length. Lineage: Eukaryota; Metazoa; Chordata; Mammalia; Artiodactyla; Bovidae. RNAcentral also lists the same sequence under 3 other names. The record is from Rfam by way of RNAcentral.
UCCCUGGUGGUCUAGUGGUUAAGACACUGCCCUUCCAAGGCAAGGGGCCUGGGGUUCAAUCCCUGGUUGGGGAA